UGGCGGCGUGCGUACACAUGCAAGUCGGACGGGUUUCUUGGCUUCGGCCAGGGGAUCAGUGGCGGACGGGUGCGUAACGCGUGCAUAACCUGCCCGGGUGUGGGGGAUACCCGCCAGAAAUGGCGGCUAAGACCGCAUAGGGUCGCCCCGGGGAUGCUUGCGGCGAAGAAAGCUUGUGGGGAGGCAAGGCCCUGCAGGCGCAGCCGGAGGGGUGCGCGGCCGAUUAGCUGGUUGGCGGGGUAAGAGCCCACCAAGGCGACGAUCGGUAGCUGGUCUGAGAGGAUGGUCAGCCACACUGGGAUUGAGAACGGCCCAGACUCCUACGGGGGGCAGCAGUGAGGAAUCUUCGGCAAUGGGGGCAACCCUGACCGAGCGACGCCGCGUGCGGGAGGACGGCCUUCGGGUUGUAAACCGCUUUUCGCGGGGACGAGGUUGGUACGGACGGUACCCGCGGAAGAAGCCUCGGCUAACUACGUGCCAGCAGCCGCGGUAAUACGUAGGAGGCGAGCGUNGUCCGGAGUUAUUGGGCGUAAAGGGUGCGCA
RNAcentral lists this ribosomal RNA (543 nucleotides) under uncultured bacterium. RNAcentral's name for it is "bacterial SSU rRNA". It matches the Rfam family "Bacterial small subunit ribosomal RNA", at positions 37 to 573 of the family's 1533-position model. The record is from RNAcentral.